This 786-nucleotide ribosomal RNA is filed under the name uncultured Actinomycetes bacterium. Its description in RNAcentral is "bacterial SSU rRNA". It matches the Rfam family "Bacterial small subunit ribosomal RNA", at positions 561 to 1343 of the family's 1533-position model. The record is from RNAcentral. Lineage: Bacteria; Bacillati; Actinomycetota; Actinomycetes.
UAAAGGGCUCGUAUGUGGUUGAUCGCGUCGGAAGUGUAAUCUUGGGGCUUAACCCUGAGCGUGCUUUCGAUACGGGUUAACUUGAGGAAGGUAGGGGAGAAUGGAAUUCCUGGUGGAGCGGUGGAAUGCGCAGAUAUCAGGAGGAACACCAGUGGCGAAGGCGGUUCUCUGGGCCUUUCCUGACGCUGAGGAGCGAAAGCGUGGGGAGCGAACAGGCUUAGAUACCCUGGUAGUCCACGCUGUAAACGGUGGGUACUAGGUGUGGGGUCCAUUCCACGGGUUCCGUGCCGUAGCUAACGCUUUAAGUACCCCGCCUGGGGAGUACGGCCGCAAGGCUAAAACUCAAAGGAAUUGACGGGGCCCCGCACAAGCGGCGGAGCAUGCGGAUUAAUUCGAUGCAACGCGUAGAACCUUACCUGGGUUUGACAUGGAUCGGGAGUGCUCAGAGAUGGGUGUGCCUCUUUUGGGGUCGGUUCACAGGUGGUGCAUGGCUGUCGUCAGCUCGUGUCGUGAGAUGUUGGGUUAAGUCCCGCAACGAGCGCAACCCUUGUUCACUGUUGCCAGCACGUUAUGGUGGGGACUCAGUGGAGACCGCCGGGGUCAACUCGGAGGAAGGUGGGGAUGACGUCAAGUCAUCAUGCCCCUUAUGUCCAGGGCUUCACGCAUGCUACAAUGGCUGGUACAGAGAGUGGCGAGCCUGUGAGGGUGAGCGAAUCUCGGAAAGCCGGUCUCAGUUCGGAUUGGGGUCUGCAACUCGACCUCAUGAAGUCGGAGUCGCUAGUAAUC